GUGAAUCAUCGAAUCUUUGAACGCAAAUUGCACUCUCUUCGCAUAGUAUGCCUGUUUGUGGGUCAGCCUCAAAAAAAUCGACAUAGUCCCUGUUUCGCGGUGACACUCGUCGGAAAUUGGGUCAUCUUAAACCUUUUGGUUUUAAACGGCUUAAAAUUUUCUUUUCUACUCCACGAACGUUUCUAAGAUUUACUUACACGUUUAGCGUAUCGA
RNAcentral lists this unclassified non-coding RNA (213 nucleotides) under Glomus sp. Its description in RNAcentral is "partial contains 5.8S ribosomal RNA and internal transcribed spacer 2". The record is from RNAcentral. Lineage: Eukaryota; Fungi; Glomeromycota; Glomeromycetes; Glomerales; Glomeraceae.